UCCUACGGGAGGCAGCAGUAGGGAAUCUUCCACAAUGGACGAAAGUCUGAUGGAGCAACGCCGCGUGAGUGAUGAAGGUUUUCGGAUCGUAAAACUCUGUUGUAAGGGAAGAACACGUACGAGAGGAAAUGCUCGUACCUUGACGGUACCUUACGAGAAAGCCACGGCUAACUACGUGCCAGCAGCCGCGGUAAUACGUAGGUGGCAAGCGUUGUCCGGAAUUAUUGGGCGUAAAGCGCGCGCAGGCGGCCUUUUAAGUCUGAUGUGAAAGCCCCCGGCUCAACCGGGGAGGGCCAUUGGAAACUGGAAGGCUUGAGUACAGAAGAGAAGAGUGGAAUUCCACGUGUAGCGGUGAAAUGCGUAGAGAUGUGGAGGAACACCAGUGGCGAAGGCGACUCUUUGGUCUGUAACUGACGCUGAGGCGCGAAAGCGUGGGGAGCAAACAGGAUUAGAUACCCUGGUAGUCCACGCCGUAAACGAUGAGUGCUAGGUGUUGGGGGGUUUCCGCCCCUCAGUGCUGAAGCUAACGCAUUAAGCACUCCGCCUGGGGAGUACGGCCGCAAGGUUAAAACUCAAAUGAAUUGACGGGGGCCCGCACAAGCGGUGGAGCAUGUGGUUUAAUUCGAUGCAACGCGAAGAACCUUACCUACUCUUGACAUCC
RNAcentral lists this ribosomal RNA (661 nucleotides) under uncultured bacterium. RNAcentral describes it as "bacterial SSU rRNA". It matches the Rfam family "Bacterial small subunit ribosomal RNA", at positions 337 to 989 of the family's 1533-position model. The record is from RNAcentral.